CCUACGGGAGGCAGCAGUGGGGAAUAUUGCACAAUGGGCGCAAGCCUGAUGCAGCAACGCCGCGUGAGGGACGACGGCCUUCGGGUUGUAAACCUCUUUUAGUAGGGAAGAAGCGAAAGUGACGGUACCUGCAGAAAAAGCACCGGCUAACUACGUGCCAGCAGCCGCGGUAAUACGUAGGGUGCAAGCGUUAUCCGGAAUUAUUGGGCGUAAAGAGCUCGUAGGCGGUUUGUCGCGUCUGCUGUGAAAACCUGGAGGCUCAACCUCCAGCCUGCAGUGGGUACGGGCAAACUAGAGUGCGGUAGGGGAGAUUGGAAUUCCUGGUGUAGCGGUGGAAUGCGCAGAUAUCAGGAGGAACACCGAUGGCGAAGGCAGAUCUCUGGGCCGUAACUGACGCUGAGGAGCGAAAGCAUGGGGAGCGAACAGGAUUAGAUACCCUGGUAGUCCAUGCCGUAAACGUUGGGCGCUAGAUGUGGGGACCAUUCCACGGUUUCCGUGUCGCNGCUACGCAUAGCGCCCGCCGCGGAGUACGGCGCGAGACGAACACGAAGAAGUAGACGCGNGAGACGUGCGACGACGACGACGAGGGAGAGG
RNAcentral lists this ribosomal RNA (594 nucleotides) under uncultured bacterium. RNAcentral describes it as "bacterial SSU rRNA". The stretch from base 1 to 522 matches the Rfam family "Bacterial small subunit ribosomal RNA", at positions 338 to 873 of the family's 1533-position model. The record is from RNAcentral.